Molecule: ribosomal RNA, 446 nt
Filed under: uncultured bacterium
Lineage: Bacteria
Description: partial 16S ribosomal RNA
Rfam family: Bacterial small subunit ribosomal RNA
Source: RNAcentral
CCUACGGGAGGCUGCAGUCGAGAAUCAUUCACAAUGGGGGAAACCCUGAUGGUGCGACGCCGCGUGGGGGAAUGAAGGUCUUCGGAUUGUAAACCCCUGUCAUGUGGGAGCAAAUUAAAAAGAUAGUACCACAAGAGGAAGAGACGACUAACUCUGUGCCAGCAGCCGCGGUAAUACAGAGGUCUCAAGCGUUGUUCGGAAUCACUGGGCGUAACGCGUGCGUAGGCUGUUUCGUAAGUCGUGUGUGAAAGGCGCGGGCUCAACCCGCGGACGGCACAUGAUACUGCGAGACUAGAGUAAUGGAGGGGGAACCGGAAUUCUCGGUGUAGCAGUGAAAUGCGUAGAUAUCGAGAGGAACACUCGUGGCGAAGGCGGGUUCCUGGACAUUAACUGACGCUGAGGCACGAAGGCCAGGGGAGCGAAAGGGAUUAGAUACCCGAGUAGUC